UACGAAGGGGGCUAGCGUUGCUCGGAAUCACUGGGCGUAAAGGGUGCGUAGGCGGGUCUUUAAGUCAGAGGUGAAAUCCUGGAGCUCAACUCCAGAACUGCCUUUGAUACUGAGGAUCUUGAGUUCGGGAGAGGUGAGUGGAACUGCGAGUGUAGAGGUGAAAUUCGUAGAUAUUCGCAAGAACACCAGUGGCGAAGGCGGCUCACUGGCCCGAUACUGACGCUGAGACGCGAAAGCGUGGGGAGCAAACGGG
Molecule: ribosomal RNA, 253 nt
Filed under: uncultured bacterium
Lineage: Bacteria
Description: partial 16S ribosomal RNA
Rfam family: Bacterial small subunit ribosomal RNA
Source: RNAcentral